RNAcentral lists this ribosomal RNA (494 nucleotides) under uncultured bacterium. RNAcentral describes it as "partial 16S ribosomal RNA". It matches the Rfam family "Bacterial small subunit ribosomal RNA", at positions 28 to 504 of the family's 1533-position model. The record is from RNAcentral.
GAUGAACGCUGGCGGCGUGCCUAAUACAUGCCAGUCGAGCGAACAGAUGAGGAGCUUGCUCCUCUGACGUUAGCGGCGGACGGGUGAGUAACACGUGGAUAACCUACCUAUAAGACUGGGAUAACUUCGGGAAACCGGAGCUAGUACCGGAUAAUAUAAUGAACCGCAUGGUUCAAUAGUGAAAGACGGUUUUGCUGUCACUUAUAGAUGGAUCCGCGCCGCAUUAGCUAGUUGGUAAGGUAACGGCUUACCAAGGCAACGAUGCGUAGCCGACCUGAGAGGGUGAUCGGCCACACUGGAACUGAGACACGGUCCAGACUCCUACGGGAGGCAGCAGUAGGGAAUCUUCCGCAAUGGGCGAAAGCCUGACGGAGCAACGCCGCGUGAGUGAUGAAGGUCUUCGGAUCGUAAAACUCUGUUAUUAGGGAAGAACAAAUGUGUAAGUAACUAUGCACGUCUUGACGGUACCUAAUCAGAAAGCCACGGCUAACUAC